This is a long non-coding RNA of Sparus aurata (gilthead seabream), 1621 nucleotides long. NCBI's taxonomy places the organism in Eukaryota, Metazoa, Chordata, Actinopteri, Spariformes, Sparidae. The record is from Ensembl.
CGAGGCGUCCUCGACCACCAGUGGGGGGGAGCGGGGAUCAACUGCUCUCCCCCAUCACCACAUCUCGCUGUUGAAACUGUGCCAAAUCCUGUCACCGGUUGCUGCUGUGCUGUUGCUACGCAGUGUGUAAGUAACAUGUAUUCCCAAAGGCAAGUUCACUCGGGGACAAUGUGGGCCUACAUCAGGUCAGACAAUGACACUCAGCAGAGCAGCGGAGCCCCCCACUGAAAAACUAAUUGACUGUUUCCACAAUUGUGUCUAUUAGAAAGCUGCCAUGGGGAGAUGUGUUCGUCUAAGACACGGCAGAUGCCUUCAGGGUGAUGUCUUUUCUGAUCAGUGAGUGAGUGUGGCAUGAACUACACACAUUAUUUAUCACACUUGAUUCUUAACAGUUACAUACUUAAAAACAAAAAAUGUAACAAAAACUACAUGAAGUUUUGAAUGAGACCCCUCCUCCUCCCAUUGAGAACAAGUGUCUCGACUCCGGGAGCUACAGAGACACUCUGUAAUAAACCCAAAACUGAUUUUAUUCUAAUAUGAAAUAUGGACUAGGCUGCCAAUAAAAACCGCAGUCUGUGUGUGAGCUGAGUGAAAUCCUCUGAGCAGAGCUCCUCAUUAUUUCUCAUCCAGCAGACCAGAGUAGAUGCACCUCCCCCGCCAGCCAUCUCCAUGAUCAUCUCUGCUAGUGUAAACUGCGUUGGGAGAAUAUCCGCCGAUACAUGCGCCCUACAUCCCGACGAGCCGGUCCAGGCUAAAUCCCACAUAAAAGAAGGCCCCGUCCAUUUUUUUUAAGUCAGCUGGGGAAUUACAGAAACAAGCAGGUAUUCAGUGAGUGACACCAUGUUCAGCUGCAGCAUCCAGCCGAGUGUGAGCAGCACAACAAACCGGCCUCCGUCUCUGUGCAGCGGCCUGGUUCAGUCGCCUCCGCUGGGCUACAUUUGUGAUGGGGAUGGUGACGAGUCCUCGAGAAACCAGCUCCUUCCAACUGUCCGCACCUCCUGCCUUCUCCUGCUGUCCAGUCCUCCAGUUCAGUGCUGCUUAUGGUUUUAGAGUACAGAUGGCUGAGUUGGAAGUCAAGUUAGUCUAAUUCCUGGAUCUCCCUGCCAUCCUAUUAUCAACGCUGUCCUCUGGUUCAGAGACAGCUGCCUGCUGGAGCUGCAGUCUUCAGGCGGGCACAGUGAACAGGUUGCAGGUUUUGGACUGGCGUUAGCCCGAAAACUUUGUUUCCUGGAUGCUGCCUUGUUUCUAAGACCACAGAGCAAGUGUAUUUGCAGGAAAUGUCCACCUGGUUUGCUGAGAGAUACACAUUCUUAGUGACAGGUCCAUAAAUAUAGCCUAUGGUAUAUUAAUUAUAUAAACAUUAUAAAAUACUGUAAAUAUUCAUGCAAAAAUAUAUAAUGAAAGGGAAAAUGAUGACAUUGAUUGAAUAAUAAGAAAUAAAAACAAAGCAAAACAAACUAACAACAAACAGAGAACUUAGAAUAUAGAUUAAGUAACUAGUCACUUUGCAGUUUGUAAUCUGUGUCAAAGGCAAAGUAGUGCAUUUUUUAAUUUAUUUAUUUCAUUUGCAUUAAUAAUAAAAAACUCUGAAUAUCGGAUCUGGUAAUUGGCCCUUCAUAUA